Oncorhynchus tshawytscha (Chinook salmon) is the source of this 1667-nucleotide long non-coding RNA. NCBI's taxonomy places the organism in Eukaryota, Metazoa, Chordata, Actinopteri, Salmoniformes, Salmonidae. The record is from Ensembl.
CACACACCUGACAUUCCACAGCGCUCAGCCUGGCUCCGACACACGGCUCCGACACACGGCGAUAAGCUCCGAGGCGUUAGUGUGUGUGUGUGUGUGUGUGUGUGUGUGUGUGUGUGUGUGUGUGGUAGAUGGCGACUGUGUGGAGCAGUACCAUCAACUGUAUUCCUCGUGUCCCCGCUCUGUGUUUGUCGUAAACAAAAAGAGGGCAGUUGGAUGCUGCCAAAAUCCCACUCAUCAUUCAGGUCAGUCAGGUAACAUUACUUCCAUUGUUCUGACUCAAUGUGUCCUUCAGUAUUUGUGGAGAAACAUUUUCAGACACUGCAAGAUACAGUUUGUGCCUGUUGUCAAUUCUGCAAACAGUUGACCUGCAACUGAAUAUGUAACUAGUGCCUCCAUGUGUGUAGUUAUAACAUUGAUCACAUCCAAACAGGUGCUCAUGUACAUAGUUUAUUUCUCUUAAAACUGCAUUGUUGGCUAAGGGCUUGUAAGCAAGCAUUUCACGGUAGCAUUUCACCUGUUGUAUUCGGCGCAGGUGACACAUUCAUUUUGAUUUGAUUGGAUUCCACAACCCUACAUGUCAGCACUCGUCGUGUUUUGUGUUGUUUUUGUGGACGCCAGGAACAGUAUCUGCUGUUUAUGCAAAAGCUAAUGGGUUUACAAAUACUCAAAUAGACAGGACUGUGAUGUUGAUGUGGGGUGACCAGGAUGGACUCCAACAAAUCACAGAAGAAGAACGUGAGAGAGAGAAACAAAGAAGGAGAGAGGAGAAGAAAGAAGGAGAGAGGAGAAGAAAGAAGGAGAGAGGAGAAGAAAGAAGGAGAGAGAGAAACAAAGGAGAGAGGCGAAGAAAGAAGGAGAGAGGAGAAGAAAGAAGGAGAGAGGAGAAGAAAGAAGGAGAGAGGAGAAGAAAGAAGGAGAGAGGAGAAGAAAGAAGGAGAGAGAGAAACAAAGGAGAGAGGAGAAGAAAGAAGGAGAGAGAAAGAAGAAAGAAGGAGAGAGGAGAAGAAAGAAGGAGAGAGGAGAAGAAAGAAGGAGAGAGGAGAAGAAAGAAGGAGAGAGAGAAACAAAGGAGAGAGGAGAAGAAAGAAGGAGAGAGGAGAAGAAAGAAGGAGAGAGGAGAAGAAAGAAGGAGAGAGAGAAACAAAGAAGGAGAGAGGAGAAGAAAGAAGGAGAGAGAGAAACAAAGAAGGAGAGAGAGAAACAAAGAAGGAGAGAGGAGAAGGAAGGGGUUACAGGAAAACAUACAUCACAGCUGGCGUCUGUAGCCAGAACCAACACGAUCCAUCCGCCUGGGACUCCACUUCACGGGAUUGGCUGGACCUCCGCCCAGGGUCAAAGGUGUGGGAAGGACAUCUCCAGACUGGAGAUGAUGGAGACCGAGAGAGACCAAGAUGGAGACCCAGUAAUGAUGAUGAAGCUGUAAGGUGGUGGAAACAGGUGAUCCUGCUGGCUGGGCCAAGCCUCCACAUUCAAAAAGAAUUGGACUGUUCCCAGGCUCUCUCAUGCAUCUCUAAGCUCUCCAACACAGGACAAUUUACUGGCUGGGAGCAGCAUAGCCAAGGACCAAGAGCUGGGUAAUGUGUAUGUGUGCUUCUGUGUGCGCAUGUGGGUUAGUGUCUGUGCCUCAAUGCAUGUGUGGGUGACUACAGUAUAUAUUCAUAUGGAAC